UUCACGGGUGCGGCUUUCCCCCAAUCCGUGAAUGAAGGUGCAUCUAGUCAUGGUGCAUCGCCAUCGCCAUCGUUGCAGGAGAUUCUAGCGUCUGCAGAACGUCGUCUCCGACCUCGUCUAGAUCCGGAUCGUUCCCCCGGUUCUAUUUGGUUUGAUCGUAAUAACGACGUGAUUUCAUCCGUCGUCAGCAUCUUACAGUCGGACUUCAAAGGUCCGUGGCGGAGUCUCACCCGUGUCCCUCCAUCUGAUCUGCAGCGUUGAUUUGAGGCUUUUGCGCAAGCUUAUUAUUGGGACGAGUCUGUUCAUGACCGAGUCUACGCCGCUUGGAGGCUCGCCGUCCGAGAUCGCCUCAAGGACAACAUUUAUCGGGUAAAGAGCAGACGCGUACGACCUGCAUGGAUGUCGACGGCGAUCUACGAUCAGCUAGUUGAAUAUUGGGAUUCACAAGAAGGAACGCAGAAGAGUCAAACAUUCUCAAGCAAUCGACGAUCCCGAGCGGAGGUCGAACGCGCACCCCCGACCCACACUGCAGGACGGAGAUCAUUUGCUCGA
Tarenaya hassleriana is the source of this 552-nucleotide long non-coding RNA. RefSeq lists it as uncharacterized. The transcript has 3 exons. The record is from RefSeq and is a predicted model, not a curated record. Lineage: Eukaryota; Viridiplantae; Streptophyta; Magnoliopsida; Brassicales; Cleomaceae.